CUACUUGAUGAGAUCAGCGGAUCGCCUUUCAUCAUGAGGCAGCUCUCACGCUGCUGCUCGCACUGUUGUCUGUCCUCUUUCUCUCUCUCCUUCCCUUUCUCUCUCUUUCGGGCCACUGAGCUAGGCUUUGGAGCCGGAGCCGGAGCUGGAGCUGCGACACAGGACGGAGUAAGGAGUGCGGAGUGGGACGGAGGCUGUCACGGCUGGGAUUAACCUCAGGGAGGGGGUGGGGGGGUUACGUCUCUGGGGAGAAGCUUCUUUUCUCCUUCUUCAGCAGGGAGACCGAGCAAAGAGGAAAAAAACUAGUGUGCGCUCCUUCUCACAAAGAGAGGAGCUCCUUUCGUCCUUUAUUCCUUGGGGUUUCCUUGUUUUUUUCCCUGAACUGGUGAAGACCGGGGAGUUCUGCCGGGGAGACCAUCACAACCGGGGUUCCAGUAAGGCUGGCACUAUCGCCACUGCCAGACGCUGAUGUUAGUUUGGGGGCCUCAGGCUGUCGUUUUGGUGCUUUGAUGAGGUAACAGCGGACCCCGGUAGACCAGCCCCUCUAUUGCACCACCCCUUUCCUCCUCUCUACCCCUGUCCAACCAGCCAAGCCAUGGGCCAGAAGAUCUCAGGGAGCAUCAAGUCUGUGGAUGUACGUGGGGAGCCAUCCUACAGGCCCCUGAGGAGGGAACUUAGAGGUCCAGAUUUCUUCAAGCCAGCCCGGCUGGACUUACUACUGGACAUGCCCCCUGCUCCGUAUGAGCAGCAGCUUCGACAUGCCUGGAACCCGGAUGACCGCUCGCUUAAUAUCUUCAUCAAGGAUGACGACAAACUCACCUUCCAUCGGCAUCCUGUUGCCCAGAGUACUGAUGGCAUUCGUGGACGGGUGGGAUACACGCGAGGACUCCAUGUUUGGAGGAUCAAUUGGCCUGUUAGGCAACGGGGCACACAUGCGGUGGUGGGUGUGGCCACACCAGAUGCCCCUUUGCACUCAGUGGGUUACACUUCUUUAGUUGGAAGUGAUAGUGAGUCCUGGGGCUGGGACCUGGGACGAAACAAGCUCUACCAUAACAGUAAGAACCGACCAGCCUCUUCUGCACCCACAUACCCAAGCUUUCUGGAGCCAGAGGAGGCCUUUGUGCUGCCAGAUGCCUUGAUAGUAGUGCUGGACAUGGAUGAGGGCACGUUGAGCUUCAUAGUGGAUGGACAGUACCUUGGAGUGGCCUUCAGAGGUCUUAAGGGCAAAAAGCUGUACCCCAUUGUCAGUGCAGUGUGGGGCCACUGUGAAAUCACCAUGCGCUACAUCAAUGGCCUAGAUCCCUGGUCAAGCUGGUCUUCAACUGGUCUUCAGCCUGGUCAUGCUGAUUUUCAAACUGUAGAAAUGUGGCUCUCCAGGACCGAUAUUGGCCUUCCCACUCUAGACUAAGGCUGUGAUCCUCCUUAGGAUCCUUUCUACUCGGUUGAAGGAGGAGGGGUCCUCCGAUGACCGCAAAACCCGGAAGUCGGUGUUUGUGUAUUUGGACCGCCUACCUUUCUUUCAGUUCCCUCCCUUACCCGUUGCUCAUAUCCUGUCGCCUAGCAACCGUGACAGCGCUAAGCAAGAAGUGGGAAAAUGGACAAACAAAGAGUUAUUCUGGAAGAAUAAUUUUGGAAGAAAUAAAGCAAUUAAAUAAAUUAAAUACGUUCUUUGCUCGUUGUCUGAGAGUUUUUUAUAUCAGACUACAAGACAGUCAUAUCCAGGUAAGCCAUUAUAUCCUAUUUUUAUUUAUGUUUUAAAACAAAAUGCCUAACUAGACAACCACUGAAAAAAUAUAUAUUUUUGAAAAGCCAGUUUUUAAGAAACUUACAUUGAAAAGCAUACUCCUCUGCGAUUUCGCUACCGCUCGCUUCGUCUGCCAUUACGCUCUGCCAAACAGAAUUAUGGGAUAGGUAGGACGGGAAAGGAUCCACCACACCCAUCCUUCCAAUUCGGGGAAAAGGAGGACGUAUUUGUGGGCCACAUUUGAAGGAUCCUACGAAUUUGGACAGCCAUCGUCGCGGCGCUGUGACGUAACAUCCUUCAAAUAAGUACUCCGAAAGAUGUAGACCCUGAAUUUGGACACAGCUUAAGGGAUGUCUAUUCUUGUUCCUGGAACAUUAAUGUCCCUGCAGUUUAGCUCCAAACUGGCCAACACACUUUCUUGGAAGUUUGUAGUAAUCCUGAAGACCUUGCUUAGCUGCUUCAGCUGUGUUUAGUUAGGAUUUGAGCUAAACUCUGCAGUACAGUGAUCCUUCAGGAGCCUUGAUUAGAUGCCUCUGGUGUAGCCAAUCUCCCAGUCUGGCCAAGCUGGUGUUUAGCUGGGUGGACUGCUGGUCUCCAAUCCCAACCAGCUAGAAAGUGCCAAAAACCCUUUAAAAAUCAGCCAACAUACCAGCUUGACCAGGCUAGAAGACCAGCAAACCAAAAGUACUCUUUAGGCAGUUUACUUCUUUUGCCCUGGCAAUCAAAAACCUGACCUUAUUAUGCCACGCUACAACAACACUGUGUUCUGUGGAAACCUUGCUUGAGAUGAAGCCAUGCAUUGUUGGUAUUUCAACAUACAGUUGUAGUUAGCCAGCAAGCGACCCUGACUAUCGCAUCUUGUCUUCCAUCUUGUCCAGUCAAGACCUCAAUGUAAAGAGAUUAAUUCUGGUUCUUCUCUUACAAUGUCCCUCAGGUGGUGCGUUUUUGGCUGCAUAUUUUAUGCGUCAGCAUGUGUGUUUUGUGCAAGUGAUUAUGCAUUAGUUUCAAACACUCAGAGCCAUCACGUCAUUCACAAGGCUAGACGCUGAGACUUGAAACACUCCUUCAUCCAUCAUCAGCAUGUUUUGGAAACACUUUUUUUCUAAUCCGCUCCUGUCAGGCAGACACUGUGUGUGUAUAAGCCAGAGGGUUUUGAAUGAAACAGCAUUUUAAAGCCAGAGGCAUGUAACCAUUUGAGCUUUAUUUAAUAGCACAACCUCAACAGAACAGAGAUUCAGAGUCAUUUGGUAGAUUUAGCUGUUUCUAUAUGAAAGUGAAAGUGAAAGUGAAGUGACAUUCAGCCAAGUAUGGUGACCCAUACUCAGAAUUUGUGCUCUGCAUUUAACCCAUCCGAAAUGCGCACACACACAGAGCAGUGAACACACACACACUGUGAGCACACACCCAGAGCAGUGGACAGCCAUUUAUGCUGCGGCGCCCGGGGAGCAGUUGGAGGUUCGAUGCCUUGCCUAAGUCGAGGUAUUGAAGGUGGAGAGAGAACCGUUCAUGCACUCCCCCCACCCACAAUUCCGUCCGGCCCAAGACUAGAACCCACAACCCUACGAUUGGGAGUCCAACCCUCAUUAGGCCACGACUUCCCCAUAUGAAAGAAACUCCAUCUACAAACAUCUAUACCUGUGGAUGAUUUUUAUUUUUUAGCUUACUAUGCUUCAUGCCAUUCCAAACCUGUAUGACAACACAAAAGAUAUUUUGAAGAUAUUUUUUGCCCAGGUGAAAUUGGACCCUAUUGACCUUCUGUAUGUAAAAAAAAAAAUAAAAAUACUGAUUUAAUUUAUUUUUAUGAAUAGCAUUUUUUUUUUUUUUACGAAGAAAUUAAGUAAUGUAUGAUGGGAAGGACCUGAGGAUGAGCAAAUUAUGAUACAAAUGUUAAUUUUUUUACCAUAAUAAAAGCUCAUUAUUGCACAGCAUUGAGUAACUAGCUUUUUCUUUAAAGCAGCAACAGCUGUAUGAUAAAAGUCCCCAUUGUUUAAUAAAUAAUCAAACGUAUUAAAAAUAUUAAUCACAAAAAUCCCAGUUAUUAUUUGGGAACUGACUAUUUUAAUCACUGAAACAACUCAAUCCCUGUAUAGACAUUUCACUGUGUUGAUUAAACUGUCUGUGUUUAAAGAAUAAAAGUAUGAUAUUCCUUUAUAAAACUUGUAAUUGUUCAUGACUUCAGAGUAUUAAUUUAAUAAGCAACCCAGUAAACCCAUAAGCAGAAUCCUAUCAGUGUCAUUUCAGCCCUGUUUAUAUGGAUUAGAUUGCUUUGGUCUCGGUGUCGCUCUACGGAGUCUUCUCCUCCCUGGUGUGUUUCCAUAUCGGGACAGAGAGCAGAGUGGGACACUCACAAAGCCCCCUCGUCUGAAGUUAAAAGAGCCCUCUUUCUCCUUUUCAGAUGGAAAGAGCAACUCAGUAAGUGGUCCUAAGACCAUUUGAAAUCUUUUCAAAGCUUCUAGUAAGCAUGUCUUUAUUUGCUGGAAAAUUGUAUGAAAUGAGCAAAGCAAUGUGUAAUGCUUGCGAGAGAGAGUUCUGUGAAUCUCAAGAGGUGUUUGGAGAAGCCAUCUUUGGACUGGAUCGCUCAUUUGGAAGCUUGUGGUUUCCAAAGUUGUGUUAAAGAUUUGCUCUGAGGAUUGUGGGUUUAUAUACACGUUUUAGGUGUUUUGCAUGUUUUAAGUCACGUGCAGGAGGCUGUUAAGCACCUUUCCUUGUAGAAUGCAAGAGACUGAGAGUGAUGGUGAGUGAGAGAAACAUGAGUAAUGAAUGCAGUAAGAAAGAUGAGGUUGGAAAAAUGUAAGCUGAGACAUUUUUAGAUAUGUGCAGCACAGUCUGAACCUCAGGCUUAAUUUUAAUAUAUAUGCAAGCAUGCACCCAUCACUGUCUUAUUACACAUCUGCACAGUCUAUAGCAAACUAAUUUCAUUACAAACAAACACUCUGAGCUGUCUGACUUAAUCAGACUCCUCCGUGUCUUACGGAGAUACUUAUGAGUUUAAAGUGUCCAGGGUAAGUGACUGUGGGAUAGAAAGAGAUGAUGUAAACACAAGAUAAAUGGAGAGACCAGGUCAAUACCCAGUGAGCUGCCUCCUUAGACAUAAUUUUAGAACAUAAAAAAAAAAAACACUUUUUUAAAUCUUUUAAGCUGCCCACUUGUACAGCAUGUUUAAAGUUGACAUUUAUGAAUUUAUUUCAAUUUACAGAGAUAUGGUUUCUCAAAAGAAUGUAAGCUGCCUACCAAGCAGUUUCUGGGCAGAUCAAGUACAGUGUCUCAUAACCUAGUGAGCUGCAUUCCGGGUUUAAAAAAAUAUAUUUAUUUAUUUUUCUGGUAAAUAUGUCACACCUGAGUAUAUGGUGAAAAAGAACCUAAAAUAAACAUUUAAAUUUGAAACAAUCUUACAUUUUUAUAGCAUUCAUUAUAAACUGCAUUUAUUAUUAUCAACAAACCUAAACAAAAUUAAAGUGAAGUCAAUAUGUAAAGUCACAUAUCCUACUGAAUUGCCUACUUAAACAGCUAACAAUAUUUAGUAGGCAGCUCACUAGUUUUCGAGACACCACAUUUGUUACUCCCAUAUGAGUGAGAAUGUGACCCUGGACCACAAACCAGUCUUGCGUUGCUGGGCUAUAUU
This is an RNA transcript of Carassius gibelio (silver crucian carp), 5366 nucleotides long. It is a transcript of the gene named splA/ryanodine receptor domain and SOCS box containing 4a, with no coding region annotated. The record is from RefSeq and is a predicted model, not a curated record. Lineage: Eukaryota; Metazoa; Chordata; Actinopteri; Cypriniformes; Cyprinidae. The transcript has 4 exons.